This 497-nucleotide ribosomal RNA is filed under the name uncultured bacterium. RNAcentral's name for it is "partial 16S ribosomal RNA". It matches the Rfam family "Bacterial small subunit ribosomal RNA", at positions 28 to 507 of the family's 1533-position model. The record is from RNAcentral.
GAUGAACGCUGGCGGCGUGCCUAAUACAUGCAAGUCGAGCGAACAGACGAGGAGCUUGCUCCCCUGACGUUAGCGGCGGACGGGUGAGUAACACGUGGAUAACCUACCUAUAAGACUGGGAUAACUUCGGGAAACCGGAGCUAAUACCGGAUAAUAUAUUGAACCGCAUGGUUCAAUAGUGAAAGACGGUUUUGCUGUCACUUAUAGAUGGAUCCGCGCCGCAUUAGCUAGUUGGUAAGGUAACAGCUUACCAAGGCAACGAUGCGUAGCCGACCUGAGAGGGUGAUCGGCCACACUGGAACUGAGACACGGUCCAGACUCCUACGGGAGGCAGCAGUAGGGAAUCUUCCGCAAUGGGCGAAAGCCUGACGGAGCAACGCCGCGUGAGUGAUGAAGGUCUUCGGAUCGUAAAACUCUGUUAUUAGGGAAGAACAAAUGUGCAAGUAACUAUGCACGUCUUGACGGUACCUAAUCAGAAAGCCACGGCUAACUACGUG